Molecule: ribosomal RNA, 406 nt
Filed under: uncultured bacterium
Lineage: Bacteria
Description: partial 16S ribosomal RNA
Rfam family: Bacterial small subunit ribosomal RNA
Source: RNAcentral
GAUGAACGCUAGCUACAGGCUUAACACAUGCAAGUCGAGGGACCGGCGCACGGGAGAGUAACACGUAUCCAACCUGCCCUUUACUCGGGGAUAGCCUUUCGCAAGAAAGAUUAAUACCCGAUAUAAUGGAUGGGGAUGCGUUACAUUAGGUUGUUGGUGAGGGAACGGCUAACCAAGCCUUCGAUGGAUAGGGGUGCUGAGAGGAAGGUCCCCCGCAAUGGAGCUGAGACACGGUCCAAACUGGUACGGAGGGCAGGAGUGAGGAAUAUUAGGCAAGGAGCGCUAGCCUGAACCAGCCAAGUAGCGUGAAGAAUGAAGGCUUAUGAGUCGUAAACUUCUUGUAUAUAAGAAUAUGUAUUAUAUGAAUAAGGAUCGGCUAACUCCGUGCCAGCAGCCGCGGUAAUUC